UACAGAGGUCUCAAGCGUUGUUCGGAUUCAUUGGGCGUAAAGGGUGCGUAGGUGGCGAUGUAAGUCUGGUGUGAAAUCUCGGGGCUCAACCUCGAAAUUGCAUUGGAUACUGCGUUGCUAGAGGAUUGUAGAGGAGAGUGGAAUUCACGGUGUAGCAGUGAAAUGCGUAGAUAUCGUGAGGAAGACCAGUUGCGAAGGCGACUCUCUGGGCAAUUCCUGACACUGAGGCACGAAGGCUAGGGGAGCAAAC
This 250-nucleotide ribosomal RNA is filed under the name uncultured bacterium. Its description in RNAcentral is "partial 16S ribosomal RNA". It matches the Rfam family "Bacterial small subunit ribosomal RNA", at positions 524 to 773 of the family's 1533-position model. The record is from RNAcentral.